GCGAGUAUGGCCCUCACGGGUCUAAUCCACCACAAACACCUUUGUGAACCAGUCAGGGGGACUCGGCCGUGAAAGCCCAGGCGAUUAGUGGAAGGGCCCUCCUUUGCAAACCCGUUUAGAAGUCUUGAAAGUACUUUUGUAUAAUCUAGUA
RNAcentral lists this unclassified non-coding RNA (151 nucleotides) under soil metagenome. RNAcentral's name for it is "partial internal transcribed spacer 1". The record is from RNAcentral.